CGGGGUGAGUAAUGUCUGGGAAACUGCCUGAUGGAGGGGGGUAACUACUGGAAACGGUAGCUAAUACCGCAUAACGUCGCAAGACCAAAGUGGGGGACCUUCGGGCCUCAUGCCAUAAGAUGUGCCCAGAUGGGAUUAGCUAGUAGGUGGGGUAACGGCUCACCUAGGCGACGAUCCCUAGCUGGUCUGAGAGGAUGACCAGCCACACUGGAACUGAGACACGGUCCAG
RNAcentral lists this ribosomal RNA (229 nucleotides) under uncultured bacterium. RNAcentral's name for it is "partial 16S ribosomal RNA". It matches the Rfam family "Bacterial small subunit ribosomal RNA", at positions 104 to 334 of the family's 1533-position model. The record is from RNAcentral.